AGGGAAUCUUCCGCAAUGGGCGAAAGCCUGACGGAGCAACGCCGCGUGAGUGAAGAAGGUCUUCGGAUCGUAAAACUCUGUUAUUAGGGAAGAACAAAUGUGUAAGUAACUAUGCACGUCUUGACGGUACCUAAUCAGAAAGCCACGGCUAACUACGUGCCAGCAGCCGCGGUAAUACGUAGGUGGCAAGCGUUAUCCGGAAUUAUUGGGCGUAAAGCGCGCGUAGGCGGUUUUUUAAGUCUGAUGUGAAAGCCCACGGCUCAACCGUGGAGGGUCAUUGGAAACUGGAAAACUUGAGUGCAGAAGAGGGAAGUGGAAUUCCAUGUGUAGCGGUGAAAUGCGCAGAGAUAUGGAGGAACACCAGUGGCGAAGGCGACUUUCUGGUCUGUAACUGACGCUGAUGUGCGAAAGCGUGGGGAUCAAACAGGAUUAGAUACCCUGGUAGUCCACGCCGUAAACGAUGAGUGCUAAGUGUUAGGGGGUUUCCGCCCCUUAGUGCUGCAGCUAACGCAUUAAGCACUCCGCCUGGGGAGUACGACCGCAAGGUUG
RNAcentral lists this ribosomal RNA (549 nucleotides) under uncultured bacterium. Its description in RNAcentral is "bacterial SSU rRNA". It matches the Rfam family "Bacterial small subunit ribosomal RNA", at positions 356 to 896 of the family's 1533-position model. The record is from RNAcentral.